GAUGAACGCUGGCGGCGUGCCUAAUACAUGCAAGUCGAGCGAACAGACGAGGAGCUUGCUCCUCUGACGUUAGCGGCGGACGGGUGAGUAACACGUGGAUAACCUACCUAUAAGACUGGGAUAACUUCGGGAAACCGGAGCUAAUACCGGAUAAUAUAUUGAACCGCAUGGUUCAAUAGUGAAAGACGGUUUUGCUGUCACUUAUAGAUGGCUCCGCGCCGCAUUAGUUAGUUGGUAAGGUAACGGCUUACCAAGGCAACGAGGCGUAGCCGACCUGAGGGGGUGAUCGGCAGCACGGGAGAGAGGAAGCGGACCAACCCCGGAAGGGAGGCACCGGUAGGAAUCCUACGGGAGGGGGCAAAGGCGUAUAGGGGAAACGCGGCGUAAGUGUGAAAGAGCUACGGAGCGUAAAUCAUGAUAUUAGGGAAGAACAAAUGUGUAAGUAACUGGGCACGUCUUGACGGUACCUAAUCAGAAAGCCACGGCUAACUACGUG
This 496-nucleotide ribosomal RNA is filed under the name uncultured bacterium. RNAcentral's name for it is "partial 16S ribosomal RNA". It matches the Rfam family "Bacterial small subunit ribosomal RNA", at positions 28 to 507 of the family's 1533-position model. The record is from RNAcentral.